Molecule: ribosomal RNA, 478 nt
Filed under: Triticum aestivum (bread wheat)
Lineage: Eukaryota; Viridiplantae; Streptophyta; Magnoliopsida; Poales; Poaceae
Description: partial small subunit ribosomal RNA
Source: RNAcentral
GUCGCGGCUCCUCACACGGCUUACGUGCCGCCACGCCAAUGGACCACUUGGACAAAAGAGGCGAUUAUAAAAUACGAGAAGCUCCCUAGGCCAAGACUCCGCGCCACCAAGAACACCAACCAUAGAAAUCCCCAAAGCAAUUUCCAAGUAGAUUUCAUGGCGGGAGCGCUCGAGCCUUUUAUCGGAGAUGCUCCGUCGCCCCAGACGCCGGCCUCUCGCCCCUUCUUCCUGCCCCCGCCUUUCCCCGCCGGAGCCCGCAUGGGACCGGCCCAUGUUCAGCAAGCCCAGGCGCGCCCGCGUCUUCUUCACCCGCAGGCUGGGCUGGCUCCUCGUGCCCAGCCAAUGAAGACCGCAGCAGCGGCGGUGAAGCUGUACCGCGGCGUGCGGCGGCGGCACGGGUGCAAGUGGGUGGCGGAGAUCCGGCUGCCGCGCAACCGGACCAGGCUCUGGCUCGGCACCUUCGACACCGCCGAGGAGG